GACGAACGCUGGCGGCGUGCUUAACACAUGCAAGUCGAACGGUGAAGCGCCUUCCUUUUUGGUGGGUGUGGAUGAGUGGCGAACGGGUGAGUAACACGUGAGUAACCUGCUCCCUUCUUCUGGAUAACCGCAUGAAAGUGUGGCUAAUACGGGAUAUUCUGGGUCUGUCGCAUGAUGGGUCUGGGAAAGAUAUUGUUUCGGUGGGGGAUGGGCUCGCGGCCUAUCAGCUUGUUGGUGGGGUGAUGGCCUACCAAGGCGGUGACGGGUAGCCGGCCUGAGAGGGUGGACGGUCACACUGGGACUGAGACACGGCCCAGACUCCUACGGGAGGCAGCAGUGGGGAAUAUUGCACAAUGGGCGCAAGCCUGAUGCAGCGACGCCGCGUGAGGGAUGGAGGCCUUCGGGUUGUGAACCUCUUUCGCCAGUGAAGCAGGCCUGCCUCGUUUGUGGGUGGGUUGACGGUAGCUGGAUAAGAAGCGCCGGCUAACUACGUG
RNAcentral lists this ribosomal RNA (494 nucleotides) under uncultured bacterium. RNAcentral describes it as "partial 16S ribosomal RNA". It matches the Rfam family "Bacterial small subunit ribosomal RNA", at positions 28 to 507 of the family's 1533-position model. The record is from RNAcentral.